Ctenocephalides felis (cat flea) is the source of this 350-nucleotide long non-coding RNA. RefSeq lists it as uncharacterized. The transcript has 3 exons. Lineage: Eukaryota; Metazoa; Arthropoda; Insecta; Siphonaptera; Pulicidae. The record is from RefSeq and is a predicted model, not a curated record.
UGAAAGACAGAAUUCAAAGAAUUACAGAAGAAGGAACUCGUCAUCUAGGUCGCCCUCAGUAGAUGUUGAUUAUAAACAUAAAUCAAAAACUUUAGUGAGACAUAAAAGACGUUCCAGAUCUCUCUCUCCUGAAAAUAGUGCAAUUAAGAAACAUUAUCUUAAAGAAAAAAGUCCUUAUUAUGUUGAUGAACAACGGGAAAAGGAUAGAAUUGCUAGGAAAUAUGAUAGAAGAAAAACAAGAUCUAGGUCCAGGUCUCCUUCUCGAGGCAAUUAUCGCCGUAGUCGAGGUUCUGAAAGAAGGAGUAGGUCACUCGAUAAUAGAAGAGCAUCUCAUAAAAGGACUAGAUCAC